AUUGAACGCUGGCGGCAGGCCUAACACAUGCAAGUCGAACGAGUGGCGGACGGGUGAGUAAUGUCUGGGAAACUGCCUGAUGGAGGGGGAUAACUACUGGAAACGGUCGCUAAUACCGCAUACCAUCGGAUGUACCCAGAUGGGAUUAGCUAGUAGGGGGGGUAAAGGCUCACCUAGGCGACGAUCCCUAGCUGGUCUGAGAGGAUGACCAGACACAGGGGAACUGGGACACGGCCCAGACUCCUAGGGGAGGCAGAAGGGGGGAAUAUUGCACAAUGGGCGCAAGCCUGAUGCAGCCAUGCCGCGUGUAUGAAGAAGGCCUUCGGGUUGUAAAGUACUUUCAGCGGGGAGGCGUUACCCGAAGAAGAAGCACCGGCUAACUCCGUGCCAGCAGCCGCGGUAAUAC
Molecule: ribosomal RNA, 406 nt
Filed under: uncultured bacterium
Lineage: Bacteria
Description: partial 16S ribosomal RNA
Rfam family: Bacterial small subunit ribosomal RNA
Source: RNAcentral